CCUAAUAUCAUUUUCGGUGAUAAUAUAAAUUUAAACUGCUAACAGACUUCACAUACAGUCCAAAUUUCUUCUAUUAUAUAUUUGUCGUCAUCUAAAACUAUAAGGGCAAUUUUUAAUUGACUCAAUUAAGUGUCUGUCUGAAAUGCACUUUUUGUACAAUUUAAGAAUAUUAGCUAAAAUUUUGUAAUAACUUGUAAUUGAUUACACCUGUUUAUUGUUACAAUGCAUUUGGAACUAAAUUUUGGAUCGCAAAACCCUGCUUCAUUGAUUUAGCUACAUUUCUUCCCUAAAAAAAUAUAUUGUACAAUAUUCAGUUUAUCGAUCUGUGUCAGUUAAUUAGCCUAUGGACAUAUAUUAUAUAUGGAUAAUAAAAAGGAUAUAUCGUAUCUUUGCGUAUAUAUCUCUUUUCUGAUUGUCUGGGUAUCCCUAAUUUAAGUGAAAACACCUCAAGUAUCUUUGAAUUACUUGUACUUUCUAGAGUAGUGUUUGUCAUUCCAUAGUGGUCCACAUCAUUUCAUAGGUUUCCAAAUGUUAACAAACUGGAGACGGCAUCCUGACAAGUCAGCGAGAGUUUUUCACUCGUUAGAACAUUUUUGAGAGAAAAGUGCCUCCUGGAAAAAACCUAUAACAACAUUUUUUAAAUAAAUUUAUGAUUUGAAACGAAGUCGAGUUGACUGGUCACUUAUGUAGGUGUUGAACGCAUCAAUGGGGUAUUCCAAAAUCAAAUUCUCAAAGGAAAACGGAAUAAUUUAAAGUUAGAAAAUAGGAUCAUGUUGCGAUUUGAGGAAUAUGCAACGUAUUUUCGAAUUUCAUUUCAGCAAUAAAACCACAAACAAUUUAAUAUUAUUUUAUUUUAUUUAUUUAUUAAUUUUUAUCAAAAAGAGAGUACAAAAUUAUGUGAAUUGUGUUAAAAAACUUGUUUAUGACAAAUUUGAAAUUUCACACAAAUUUCAAAUACAUUCUUACUGUUAGCACAAAGAGGCAUGGUUUAGGCAAUAUAAAUGUACUUUUACUAUUAACUAUGCUGACGGACGCCAAUGCCGCCAUUCGGUUAAACAGUUAGUUAUAUAUAUUUCGUUACUAUAAACUAAAGCUAGACUAAAAGAAUAAAUUAUAUAAGUAGAAUUAGAAUUUCAUUCCAAAAAUUUAAAACAAACGCAAAAUCAUUGUAAUUAAAUUAAUAAAUGAAACAUAAAUUAUGUUUAAAUUUUCUCAUGUGAUUGCCUGAUGUGUUAGAAAAAAGGACAAGUGAAAAGUCAUACUUAGUGGCAUACAAAUUACGCGUAAAUUGUUUUUUUUUUCAUUUCUGGCAUAACUAAACUAAAUUAUAUAUUGCAUACAGUUAUUAUUAACUGUGUAACUUAAGCGUUAUUGCAUUAUUGAAGGGGUGUGUAGUAUGUGGAUUGGUUAUGUAUUUUGUGACUGUUUUAAAUGUAUGUAUGUGAUUGCUUUGUGGCUCUGCUGUUUCACUCGGUUUGUAUGUGGUUUUGUAAAACUAGUUUAACUACUUUAAAAUGCUCAAUAAAUGCAGCAAU
Long non-coding RNA from Zeugodacus cucurbitae (melon fly), 1535 nucleotides. RefSeq lists it as uncharacterized. The transcript is spliced from 2 exons. NCBI's taxonomy places the organism in Eukaryota, Metazoa, Arthropoda, Insecta, Diptera, Tephritidae. The record is from RefSeq and is a predicted model, not a curated record.